Musa acuminata subsp. malaccensis (wild Malaysian banana) is the source of this 3042-nucleotide non-coding RNA. NCBI's taxonomy places the organism in Eukaryota, Viridiplantae, Streptophyta, Magnoliopsida, Zingiberales, Musaceae. The record is from RefSeq and is a predicted model, not a curated record.
UUCCUUCGUCGUCUGACGCAUCCGUGCUGCGUCCUCCGCCACCGGCUUCGUCCGCUCGCUGACUCCUUUUUCGCUUUAAAAACCCCACUCGCUUGAUCCUCUUCUUCUCUCCUUAAAGCAAAACAAAUCAGAUCAGAGCUGGCUCUCUCUCAAGCCACCGAUCUAAACCCCACCAACGAGAGGAGAGGAGGGGAAAGCAAGAACCCUCAAUGGGCAACCGCACGUCACGCCGCCACAAGGAGCCUCCGUCCCCCUUGCCAGAUCGCCCUACCCCUCCACGCCCCCGCCCCAAACUCCCUGCCGCCGUCGCCGCCCCCAGAUCACCCGGACCCAUCGUUCCCCGCCCGAUCCCAUCCGACGUCGGGCGCGUUCUCGGCCGGCCCAUGGAGGACGUCCGCGCCACCUACACCUUCGGCCGGGAGCUCGGCCGCGGCCAGUUUGGGGUGACCUACCUCGUCACCCACCGGGGGACCACGAAGCAGUUCGCCUGCAAGUCCAUCGCCACCCGGAAGCUAGUCCGUCAGGAUGACCUCGACGACGUCCGCCGCGAGAUUCAGAUCAUGCACCACCUCACCGGCCACCGCAACAUCGUCGAGCUCAAGGGGGCCUACGAGGACCGGCACUCGGUCAACCUCGUGAUGGAAAUCUGCGAGGGCGGGGAGCUGUUCGAUAGGAUCAUCUCCAAGGGCCACUACUCGGAGCGAGCGGCCGCCGCACUCUGCCGAGAGAUCGUUAACGUCGUCCACGCCUGCCACUCCAUGGGCGUGAUGCAUCGGGAUCUCAAGCCGGAGAACUUCUUGUUCUUGAACAAGAGAGAGAGUUCGCCGCUCAAGGCCACCGAUUUUGGGCUCUCCGUGUUCUUCAAGCCCGGAGAAAUAUUUAAAGAUCUUGUUGGAAGUGCAUAUUAUGUUGCUCCUGAGGUAUUGCGACGCCGUUAUGGAGCAGAAGCUGAUAUUUGGAGUGCUGGAGUUAUACUGUACAUCCUUCUUUCUGGUGUCCCUCCUUUUUGGGCAGAAAACGAGGAGGGUAUAUUCGAUGCUGUAUUGCAUGGCCAAAUUGAUUUCUCAUCUGAUCCAUGGCCUUCUAUAUCUUUUGGUGCUAAAGAAUUGGUUAGAAAGAUGCUUAGAGCAGAUCCAAAGGAGCGACUUACUGCUGCUGAAAUUCUCAACCAUCCAUGGAUGAGAGAAGAUGGUGCACCUGAUAAGCCACUUGAUCUUACAGUUUUGAAUAGAAUGAAGCAGUUCAGGGCCAUGAACAAGCUUAAGAAAGUGGCACUGAAGGUCAUAGCAGAAAGCUUGUCAGAGGACGAAAUCAUGGGUUUGAAAGAGAUGUUCAAAUCUAUCGACACUGACAAUAGUGGGACUAUAACUUAUGAAGAAUUAAAAGCAGGACUACCGAAAUUGGGCAAUUUGGGCAUCAAGAUUUCUGAAUCUGAAGUCAGACAGCUGAUGGAGGCAGUAUGUCCCUUUCUUGCCUUUUCUUUGCAAAAUCACUUAAAAACUUUGGUUGUGGUUUUCUUUCUUGGUUGACUAUCUUCUUGGACAAUGGGCAUAAGCAUUUAAUGAAAUUCUGUUGUAUAAAUUUGUGAAUUUAAGCAUGAAGACAAGCUUUGAUGUAGUAAAUUCAUUGAUGAGAGUUUCAUUGAAGCUAGUAUAGAGACCAAAAACUAGUUAGCCAGUGCUUGAAAGUUGAAAAGACAUUUCACAUAUUAUGAUUUCCUGACUGGUGAAUUAAGGCUUUCAUUUGUGCCAUCUGAUUCGUCAUCCUUUUACAAGAUAGGCAGCUUCUAUUGCCAGAAUUACUGAAAACAUUAUGGAACCACAACGAUAACCAAAGUAUUUCAGGGUUCACCAUUUUGUUGCUUUAUGCAUUGGGUUCUGACUUUAAAGAACUUAUCUGAAAUGUGGGUUGAUUCUGCACAAUCUGUUGUGGAUCUGAUAUAGUUGGACAUGUAAUUCACAUUAUCUUGCUUUAUGCAUUUAGGUAUGUCUUGGUUAUCGGUCACAGGUCAAUAACAGAUAUGCAACAGAAAUAAAGGCUUCCCCAAAGAAGCAACUAACCUUCUUGUUAUCAACUGUCGAUACAUUUUUCUUAGGACCUGCUGUUGCUCCAAGAUUAAAUGCAGUGUAGCUCCUAAGAUAACCUAUUUUUUCCUGACAGGCUGAUGUAGAUGGAAAUGGAAGCAUUGAUUAUAUUGAAUUUAUAACAGCUACGAUGCACAUGAAUAGAAUGGAAAAGGAAGACCAUUUGUACAGAGCAUUUGAGUAUUUUGAUGAAGACAAGAGCGGGUACAUCACAGUCGAGGAAUUGGAGCAAGCUCUCAAGAAGUAUAACAUGGGUGAUGAGAAAACAAUAAAAGAGAUAAUCACAGAAGUUGACACAGACAGGGAUGGAAGAAUUAACUACGAGGAGUUUGCGACUAUGAUGAGAAAAGACAGUUCAGAACCCAUACGUACCAGGAGACGUAAAUAAGGCUUUUCUUUUGCCAGUAUGAUAAUUAAGUUAGAUCGUGCUCAUCUUAUCACUGUUCUUGAAAGAAGAAAGAGAGAGAGAGAGAGAGAGAGAGAGAGCAGUGAGGAGUUGCGUCAUCUGCUGAAAGGAAUUCAUUUUCUAGUAGAGAGGAGUUUGGUUUCCGGUGUAAUAUAGUUGCGGUGCAGCUUCUAAGAUUCAGCCAUAUGCAAAAGAUCAAGUGAAACUUAUACUAUGGCAGGGGACAGUAUUUUCGGUGUGGUAUGUGCAACGAAUGGUAGCGUAGUCAAGUCCUUCUCAAGUCCUUCCGCCUCUUCUUUUGGCCUUUGGAAUUGCUUGAAUUAGUUCUUCAUGGAUAAUGAUUGGGACUUUUGGUUGCCAACUGAAUGCUAUUAGCUUUUAUUAAGUAUUACAAAAAUACUGUUAGCGUCAAUCGCCACCGGAUGUAAUGUUUGUGGGAUCAACAGAAAAUGAUAAACUUGUGAGGGGAAAGAAUAUCAGUCUUUUUUUUAAACAUAUUUGCUGUAAAAUAGAACUCAUUAUCAACAAAUUCCAAUGAUGUUUUUUGUUCCA